RNAcentral lists this ribosomal RNA (312 nucleotides) under Pseudomonas putida. RNAcentral's name for it is "bacterial SSU rRNA". It matches the Rfam family "Bacterial small subunit ribosomal RNA", at positions 1206 to 1517 of the family's 1533-position model. Lineage: Bacteria; Pseudomonadati; Pseudomonadota; Gammaproteobacteria; Pseudomonadales; Pseudomonadaceae. The record is from RNAcentral.
GGCCUGGGCUACACACGUGCUACAAUGGUCGGUACAGAGGGUUGCCAAGCCGCGAGGUGGAGCUAAUCUCACAAAACCGAUCGUAGUCCGGAUCGCAGUCUGCAACUCGACUGCGUGAAGUCGGAAUCGCUAGUAAUCGCGAAUCAAAAUGUCGCGGUGAAUACGUUCCCGGGCCUUGUACACACCGCCCGUCACACCAUGGGAGUGGGUUGCACCAGAAGUAGCUAGUCUAACCUUCGGGAGGACGGUUACCACGGUGUGAUUCAUGACUGGGGUGAAGUCGUAACAAGGUAGCCGUAGGGGAACCUGCGG